ACCUGACCGGGACGUAGCAGUGCGGCAUGGGCUGGUGUGGCGGGCGCACACUUCUUUCAAAACGGGUAGCACGCGCUACCGGUUGACGGCAUCGCCGAUUAUCUUCUUUCUCUCUUCUUCCGCCGUUUCCCAUCUCGUGCGCGCGCUCGCUCGCUCCAAGUGUAACGGCGCGGUCACGUGACACGUACGUACCCACACACACACACACACACACAUACCCGCGGUUUUUGCGCGACCAAGUUCACAUGGAGCACCGAACAUCGACGUCGCCACUCGCAAAUCGAGCUCGUCGUUUCGGAACUACGUUUGAAACAUCGCUCGCGUUCGAUCCUUUAGAGUUCCUUUAAAGAGCGCGAACGCGCGCGCGAGUGAGUUGCGUGUCCGCGCGAUUCGGGCUCGCGAAUCGAGAUGUGACCGCGACACGAGGCGCGUUGACCGCGGCGCGACGACCGGGAGUGCGGAAAAAGUGCACGCGAGUGCUUAACCGAAAAAUGACGCUCAUCGGCCGAGCAUCGGUGAGGACAGUGUUGCUGACGUCGUUGCUGCUGACUUGCAUAGUGCUGGUGAUGCUGGCGCGUGCUGAGGAUGUCGCGACCUUGGAGUACGAGCAGCCCCUUCCGGCAACCAACGAGCGACCGCGUCUUGAUAAAGACGCGUCAGUCGCGGAUCGCCGUCAAGCACGCGCAUCUCUGCACGCAGAACUGCCAUCGUCGAAAGCGAAACGCGAGCAGACGCUUCGCAACAUUCUGGCGGCCAGGAGACGGCAGAUCCUGAACCAACGCUCGCACGAGCCGCCUCGGAUCCUCGCGAGUCGCACGCUGCGACCUGGUGAUACUACUUCGAAGGAUCCUCCGGACAUUCUCGAGACCCAGGAGACCAGGCACAGCGUUUACGUCACCAAUGCACGAACAGAAACGUCAAUUGAAGAGGAGAUUCCGCAAAUGUCCAAGGAAUCCGUCGAGAAAAUUUUCGCCGCUGACCUUGGCUUGACGGAACAGGAAGUCGAGUCGCAAACCCUGAAGACGUCAAAGGAUGAAGCUCCAUCAAUGUCAACGACCGAGAAGCAUGAAAGUACUUUUUUGACAUCAUCCACGAUCGCUCCACCUUCGCCGAGCGUGCUCGCUAGUCAGAAGCCGUUAGACGCAGACGCGCGCAAGAAGAACACUGUGUCGAUGCCGGAAUCGCUGUACAACCACUUCCGGCCAGUGGAGAGCAACAUUCCGGUGGAGGACAUGUCGCAGUUCCUCUACUUCGGCCAGAAGCUCCAGCCGGACGCGCAGAACGUUACCGGCACCAGCAGUAAUAAUUCCGUGGAGACCACGUCGACGGUGCCGGUUCCAUCGCGCAGAAGAUACUCUGCAAAGAGGUUUAGCGCGACGAUGGCCGCUCCGGCGGAGGAGAUCGCGAACGACGAGAUGAACAUCGCGCUGGAACGCCGGACAGUCGAAAAGAAUCAAGUGUCGAGGAUCAAGAACACGUUCCGGAGCUCGGGCAGCGGGAUGUACUACCGGAAGCCGAGACCCACGGCGGAUGUCGCGUCCAACGUCAUCCCGGGUAACGAGUCAAGCGUAAUCGCCGGUAGCUCGGACACGAGAAACGAGAUGAAUACGGUGGACGACAAGUCGCGUCGCGACGACCUGGCGCCGCGAGAGAGAGGAAGCAGCGUCCACGUGGUCGGGACGAGCACGACGACCCAGCUACCACAGCAGCGCACGCGUGAUGAUGGCGAUGCCGAGGCGAGCGUCGCGAGCAGCGAGAUCAACGCGAAAUUCGCGAACGCGACCGUCGUAGCCACGAACGGAGUUAACGCGAGUCUUCAGAAGGCAUCGGCCGAUUUCCAGAAGGGAAUCAAUGCGAAGCAAGUCACCGAAUCGAAGGCUGACGCGAGGAGCGUGGAGAAAUCGGAGCGGAAGCUAGCGGGUGUCAAGAUGAUCUCGCCGAGGGCGGGCCUGGGGUCACGCGAGAACGAUAGCGCGUCGUCGACGAUCCGCGACGAGGUAAGAACGACGACAUCACCGCUACAACCGGAAUCGUCGACGUUGCGGAUCGUGGUGCCAGACGAGAGCUUCGGGUCGUCGAGUUUCGCGAUCGACAACGAGCGGGCCCAUCGGAAUACCGUUAAGCAGCAACCGGUCGCGGAUCGACCGGUUCGCGUGACAGCCGGCGGCAAUAUCGCUCCGAAAUCAGCGGCACUGACGCCGUCGACGACGGAGACGGUCGCACCUGCCGACUCCAAGCAACCGGGGUCACAACAGCAACAGCAGCAUCAGCAACAGCAACACGUGUACGCUUACACGAUAACGAACGUGACGCGAUUGUUGCGCAACUACACCGGACCCGGGAUAAGCGGCGAGGAAGAGCAAGGAGGAGCUGCCACCACCGGUCGUCCUGCUGGUAGCGGCGCCGAGAUAACGAGCGGUGGACCGUCGUCGCAGCAGCGGCCUCAGCAGCAGCAGCAACCACCGCCGCCGCCGCCGUCUUCUCCUCUUCUGCUUCCUCGUGCCAGUAUAGAACCGGCGCGUACGCCGGCGGGACUCAGUGCCGGCGCGACCGUCGAGCCAGUCGUAGCCGCUGGAGCGUCGGCCAGUGUUGCAGGCGGCCAAGUGGGGGAACGACCGAGGAAAGUCGUUCCACAGCAGCAGCAACGCGCGACCAGUCAACGAGCAGCGACCUGGGCCUCGCCGCAUUCAUCCGCGAACGACAGCGUCACGAGGUCCGCCAAGUCGCCCGAGGCCGGAAAUAGAGGUUCGAUCAGGUGGAACCACGGCAAGUCGCGGAUCAGCGAGCAGGAGGGUGCUAAUGACCGGAGGUUUCUACGAAAGAGCGCGAGCGCGGUGCUGAACCAGAGAUCAACCAUCAACGACGACUCCUCUUUGGUGGCGUCGAGCAAGCGUCGCAGGGUACUGACACCGCCGAGUGCGCUGUCCUCUUCGAGCAGAAGAGUCAAGCCCAGCGAUCGGGAGGAGAUCCAGAGUACCAGCGUGUUAGUGGUGGACGAUCGAUCGUCGAACGGGACGGUCGCGAGUCGAACGAGCCGUACGGACGAUGGAGGCGCUGGUUCUCCUAGGGAAGCCGCGCGCGCCAGCGGGGUGAACGAAGUGCCGAGUGACAGCAAUUCGACGGUCACCACCAUGGGGAACCUGAGUCGAAAUUCGAGUGCGAUCGGCGAUACGACGAACUCGACCGAUCCAUCAGUCCUCGUCGAUGCGAUGACAACGACGGAGAGGUCCGACGUCCUCGCGGAAGAUGUGCCUACCGUAAAAGUGUCUAGUGUAAAAGAUGGGGACAAUGUCGAGAGUGCGGCUGGGGACAACGACAAGAAUGUCGCGAUGCCGAACAGGAUCGAGAGUGAUGUGGACGCAACGAUGAAUGGCGUCGCUACGACGACCGUGACAGUGACCGGGAGAGUUUCCGAGACAGUCGCCACAACGACUACGACGACGACGACGCCGACGCCGGCGGCAGCGCCGGUUUUCCCGGUCACGCCAAAGAUACUGACGGAAGAGGAAAGGACCACCGCUCCACCGGAGACUUUCACCUUAAGGCCGACGGACGCCGGGAGAGCACCGGAAUCGAGCAACCUGGAUCCCUCGGAGAUCCAGAAGAGGUACCGGGCCAAAGACGCAACAACAACGUCAACGACGACGACGACAGCGUCGCCGGUGUCGGCUUCGCCGAUUCAGAACGACACACGUCCAGUGAGCGACGCGAGACCGAUACCGAGCGGAAAACCGGAAGUGCCCGUUUCGUCGACGCCCGCGGUGAUGGAGAACGGGAAACGCGUAUCCGGCGAGAGAUCGCCGGAAGUCAGGGCGCGCAAUUUGUCGGACAAGUCGAAGGACAAGGACGACGUGCUACCAAUCAUGCACCUGUACAACACGUCGGACAUCUUCAACGGCAGCGGGUCGAUCGACGGGUUCGCGCGUAGCACGGAACCACCGCGAGUGGUACUUCCGGUGGAGCCGCUGGACGAGAAGAAUCCUGCAACGACGACAACCUCGGGAACAACGAUGACGGAGAAGGUUCCCGAUCAGACCACGAUCGUUAACGGUCCAAUCGAAAUCAACGGAACUACCUCGACCACCGUUCCGGUACCAAGACUCAGAGAACCCACUCAACCGAUCGCAACAAACUCUCGAAAAGACAAGCACGAGGAUAAUCGUGAUUCGCAGGAUGCCACCGCUGCACCAGUGUCCAAAGGAUCCCCCGUCGCUCCCGCGACCAACAGGACCAGGUACAGGCCAGCCUAUCAUCACUCGAUCCUGCCGGAGUACAACGGCACGAUGCACCACCACCCAGCCGAGCUGAACGGGACGUUCUUCGAGACCGGCGGGCCGAUCUCGGUGAGCCCGCGGGAAUCGCUGAACAUCACCGAGGUGAUAUCGAAGCGGCACGACGGCGACGCGAUCGCCACCCAGGAGACGGUCGCCGUGGUCAGCUACAUCCUGGCCACUCUUGUGGUAUUUCCCAUCGCCGUCGGCGUCGGGCUCAUUCUCAGAAGACUGAUACUUAGGAAUCGUAAGGUGCUCGAAGAGUCGGACACGUCAUCGGAGAUAAGCUGCAGGAAGGACGCUCUUAAUCUGGAAAACGGCGAUUUCAAAACGUCCAUCGAGAAGGCGAUCACGAAGCUACCGAGGAUACAGCACUUGUGUCAUGAAGCUGAGAAACCGCCGCCUCCGCCUUCGCCGGAAUCCAGAUGGGAGUUUUCUAGAGAUAAGCUUAGACUGCAGACGGUCCUCGGGCAAGGAAACUUCGGCCAGGUGUGGAAAGCCGAAGCCGACGACUUGACAGGUCACCAAGGCACGACUCGAUUAGUGGCGGUGAAAACCGUGAAGGAAGGCGCUUCCGAUCGAGAGAAGGAAGACUUGGAUCGAGAACUCGAAAUCAUGAAGCAGUUGGGCAGUCAUCCGAACGUCGUGACGCUUUUGGGCUGCUGCACCGAGGAAGAGCCUCAUUAUCUUAUACUGGAGUACGUUAUGUACGGCAAACUGCUCGCGUAUCUGCGCGACCACCGCACCAGGCAGUACUUUUACAACUUCAGCGAGGACUCUGCGGCCUUGACAUCCAGGGAUCUCACGGUUUUCGGAUAUUGCGUCGCCAGGGGCAUGGAGUACCUUGCAUCGAAAAAGUUGGAAAAAAAUCGCUUCAAGAUCAACCACUGACGUCUACAUGGCGAUUUGUUGCUCGCUAGUCUGUUCCUUCCUUUUUGGCGACGUGUGUGCGCGCUUCGUCGUCGAUAGGAUAGGAUUGCCGAACACGAGAGGAAAGGAAUCGCGAUAAAUUUUGAGGCGACACUUGGGCGAUCGAUGCAGUCCACCGUUUAAGGGGGGAGCCUGCUUUAGAACGCUGAAAAUAAGAGUUCGUCCUGGAGAAAUCUUAGUGCAGCCGCGUCGCC
Molecule: unclassified non-coding RNA, 5395 nt
Filed under: Ooceraea biroi (clonal raider ant)
Lineage: Eukaryota; Metazoa; Arthropoda; Insecta; Hymenoptera; Formicidae
Description: mucin-5AC, transcript variant X3
Source: RNAcentral